GCCUCUCCCGUCUUCUUGCUCUUGUUUGGGAAAGACGGUUUCGGUCCCUCAGCAAUUUCUUUUUAAAGUUGAUGUGUAGUUUCCAAAUCAAUCCCUCUGUUUUCCCUUUGAUUCACCCCAGCCCGUGUACAGAGGAAAUGUGAGGACUGUGUAUGCUAAGUAAACCAAAGAUUGAUCAGCACCCAAAUGGACACAUGUUCUUCUGUUAAACCAGCUGAAUUUUCUCCUGCUGUUCUCAUAGACAAAAGUCAAGAUGGAUCCCUUGGGCACUUAGAAUUUUUUUUCAGGCUGUUGGUUGGCCUUGCUAAAUCCACAAAUCUAAAAAAAAAUGGACUGUGGCCUUAGUGACACGCCAUCUUUAAACUUUCGUGUUUAACUUCCUUUCCUUCAAAACUCCCCAGACAAAUCUAGCACUCAUAUCGAACUCAGCAUAGUUUUCUUUGAGAAUGUGAAGAUUUUAAAUAGCCAAAGAUAGCAAUCCAAAUUGGUGUUGGUAUCUUUCCUACUUACCGGCCUGUGGGAUGUUAUUGUAAGGGCAGAGCGCCCUCUGCUGGAACGAUACUUUUAGCAAAUUAAUUUGCAGUGGGUCGCCACAGUGGGUCACCACUUCAACAGGUGCGUCUUACUUUUUCAUCCGUACCAUUCCUUCAAUAGUGGAGAAUUUGGCCAGCACUUAUCAAAUGAGGAGAGAAUGUCAUGAACUCUAAAGAGCUGUAGGAGACCUCUAAAAUGUCGCUGUGUUCUGUUGCUGUCCGGGAAGAUGCCUCCGACUGCGAUGUGUGCCGCAGAGGUCUGUGUGGCUUUGGCUUGGCUCCACUUCCUCCAGUGAAAUCGCGAAGGAAGAUCAAUAAAAGGACUUCUUCCGUGUGUGAAUGUAAAUGGUGUGAAAUAAAGCGUUUUUUUAUGUGUACAG
This 913-nucleotide long non-coding RNA is filed under the name Rattus norvegicus (Norway rat). RNAcentral's name for it is "long non-coding RNA NONRATT014096". Lineage: Eukaryota; Metazoa; Chordata; Mammalia; Rodentia; Muridae. The record is from RNAcentral.